AUGUGUGGAAGGUUGCGCACAAGCCUCGGUGCAGCGUCCCACAUGACCGAUGUGGUGGCACAAUUGCAGGAAUAUGUCGAGCUAGAGAAUGGGCGUGUUGGAGGCAACACAAACAAUGGCUUCCACGGCGGUAGCAGCGGCGAUGACCCGAACUUGAGCUAUGACGCCUACACCACUGAUCGGUCCACCAGUGUGAGCCAGAACAGCACUACAUUUGAGAUGGAGUAUAAUGUUAUCAGGGUGCCAACAAUGCCUACUGGUCCUGCUACACGUUUAUACUUCUAUGUCUCAUUUCCAGUCAGUCCUACAGGCGGUCAUCAAUUCUAUUGUUUUUUCUCCUUGAAGUGGUAUGUAUGUGAUUUUGAAAUAUUUUGA
RNAcentral lists this ribosomal RNA (375 nucleotides) under Triticum aestivum (bread wheat). RNAcentral describes it as "partial small subunit ribosomal RNA". The record is from RNAcentral. Lineage: Eukaryota; Viridiplantae; Streptophyta; Magnoliopsida; Poales; Poaceae.